CGUAAUAGCUCACUGGUCGAGUCGGCCUGCGCGGAAGAUGUAACGGGGCUAAACCAUGCACCGAAGCUGCGGCAGCGACACUAUGUGUUGUUGGGUAGGGGAGCGUUCUGUAAGCCUGUGAAGGUGUGCUGUGAGGCAUGCUGGAGGUAUCAGAAGUGCGAAUGCUGACAUAAGUAACGAUAAAGCGGGUGAAAAGCCCGCUCGCCGGAAGACCAAGGGUUCCUGUCCAACGUUAAUCGGGGCAGG
Molecule: ribosomal RNA, 246 nt
Filed under: Escherichia coli
Lineage: Bacteria; Pseudomonadati; Pseudomonadota; Gammaproteobacteria; Enterobacterales; Enterobacteriaceae
Description: partial 23S ribosomal RNA
Rfam family: Bacterial large subunit ribosomal RNA
Source: RNAcentral